Molecule: ribosomal RNA, 468 nt
Filed under: uncultured bacterium
Lineage: Bacteria
Description: partial 16S ribosomal RNA
Rfam family: Bacterial small subunit ribosomal RNA
Source: RNAcentral
GACGAACGCUGGCGGCGUGCCUAACACAUGCAAGUCGAACGGAAAGCCCCUGCUUUUGCUUGGUGCUCGAGUGGCGAACGAGUGAGUAACACGUGAGUAACCCCCCCUUGACUUUCGGAUAACCUCAGGAAACCGGGGCUAACACCUGAUAGAAGCUCCUGCUCCAUGGUGGGGGUUGGAAAUGUUCCGUGGUUGUGGAUAUGCUCGCGGGUUAUCAGUUUGUUGGUGGAGUAGUGGCUAACCCGGGCCGUGACGUGUAGCCGGCAUGAGAGAGUGACCGGAGUCAGUGGUACUGAGAUAAGGACCAGACUCCUACGGGAGGCAGUAGGAGGGAAUAUUGUACAAUGGGCGGAAGUCUGAUACAGCAAAGCCGCGUGCGGGAUGACGGGCUUCUGGUUGUAAACCGCUGUCGCCUGUGACGGAGCGUGAGUGACGGUAAUGGCUAAAGAAGCACCGGCUAACUCCGUG